UUGCUGCCUGCUUUGUCUGUCUAGAAGGCAUUAAAAAAGAAAAGUUUUUGCCCAAGUAAGAGGUUGGAUAUUACUUUGACAUUUCUUAUUCAUAUUCAAAAUCUUCCAUGUUGGGUCAAGCUGUAGGGUUUAUCCCUGCAUCUCCUCUCACUCCAGCUACUUCUCUAUCAGAAGAAAAGGAGGAUAUUAAAAGCAAAGUCCACAGGUUGUGCUUCUUGUUUGCUCUGCAAAAGGAAUUUCAAGUGGGUCUGACAUCACAGAACAACCAUAGGCACCAAGGAAGGAUUCCAUGAUCCAUAGGCCAGGAUUGAAAUGAGGACUGCAAAGCAGCAUCUCUUUCUCUUUGGGCUCCUCAUUGAGCUGAGGUUUUUGUCAAAGCCACAAACCCUCAGCCCCUUGCAAUGUCAGACAUUUAUUUAAGUCAUGGUGGCUGCCAGAAGAGAAUAGCUGUCAGUGUAAAAUUACAAAUCAUUCUGCAUAAUGCCAUGCUGAUUACCAUGAAAGCAAUGGCAGGAUUGGAAUUUUACUCCUUUUUUUUCCUUUGUUGCUCAAGGAGGCAGCCUCUCCAAGGCAGCAUUUUGUGCUCAGGAAUCAUCAUCCAAGAUGUGUGGCACCAUCAGCCAAAGAUUUCCAGCAUGGGGAAACUGAGUCCUAUUCCCAAGGUUUCAAAGGCAGAUAUUCAGCAAACAGUACUAGCUUUGAUCAGGUAUUUUACUGCUCUUUCCCAAAGAGAUGAUAUGUUAAUAAUAAUCUUUGGAGGGUUUCAACAACUGUGGGAUUCUUUAAUCCAGUGAACCAGAGCUGUGUUACAGCUCUGUGAUAUUAGCAGAGUCUUCCUGCAUUACACCUUGCCUAUUUCAAUAGGGGAAACCAUUUGUUCCCUGCCACCUCCUGGGUUAGUCAGACAUUCACAAGUCUAUUGCUAACCUGCUUUCUCUAAUGAAAGCAUCAAUUCCCAGCAGCGAUAGUUGUCAUUAAAUCAAUAAGACACGUAACCCAUUCUUCUGGUGCCUCACAAAAAUGCUCAAGCAAAUUGUUAACAAGAUUUGCUAAUGCUGGGGUCCCACAGUCCGGAAGUCUCUGCAAAUAAAUAAUGGUAUUUGGCUCACAGAAGAACUUUCCUGGUUUGCUUUGUUCUCUGAAAUAUUUUAACCCUGUUUUCCCUACAAUUUUUCAGUGUUUGAAACCUGUGGAACAACUUUGCUAGGGUGGAGGCAGUUCAGGCUGGAACAAAGCACUGACAGCAAAUAUCAAGGAUAGUUUUCUGCAGGUAGUCAAACACUGCCUCAGAGACUGUCAGUUCUUGGUUGGCCCUGCAAUUUAUUUUUCCCCUAGGAAAGCACUAAACUGGCUCCUAGUAAUCCCCAAGGGGUUUCCUUUUCUCCCUGGGAUCUGUUCCUGAUAUUUUUCCUAAAUCACUUGAAUGUAGAAGUAUGGCCUCUCAUCAUGCCCCAACACUCUUCUGGGUGGUAAAAAACCCAUUCCUGGAAAUCUGGAGGCUGGCUAAUGUUUUAAGGAUGAAGAGAUGACCCAAAGGUUGGCAGGUUGGCAGUUUUUCCUCCUGAAUAUUUCUGACAUUAAAGUGCAGCUGACAUGGCUUUUCUCUCAAGCACUGGGCACAGCAUAUGCUGACAAGGGAGUGCUUCUAUGAUAAGAAUCACCCUUUUUUACUGGUUUCACAGAGUUUUGGUGUCUGGGCCUGACCAUCUCCCUGAAAGACCUUCAUCCAUGUUUGUGUGUGCAUUGACAUAGUGGCUUUGAGGGCUGCAAAAAUAAGGAUCCUACUGCUGACCUUCUGGCUUGCAGACCAUAAUUAGUUUAUGUCUGAAAAGCAUGGCAACAGCAAAACAUAUCAUGUGUGUCUGUUCAGAGAGGCAAGCAGGGAAGCAAGGAUGGUGAUGAUACUCGAGGAAGAAGGGAAAUAUAAAAGGAGUGAACAAGCUGGCAAAGGGGCCAGGAGUGCUCAAGAACGAAGACACAGGGAAUCAAGCUGCUUAUGAAGAAGCAGAGGCUGUGCUUCAGAGCAUAAAGGGGAGCAGCACAGAGGGACACGAAGGAGCAAGACUGACAGGGAGAUGGAUCGGAUGGGCAAGCUGUGGAUUGAAGGCACAAAAGGGCAAGGACAGAUACACAGAGCUUUGCAAUUAGCAGCUGUGAUUUAUGGUGGCUUCUUUGUCUUAUCAUCCUCCCCUGGCAGAUGUCCUGCCAGCAGGGGCAGUCGAGGGGUGUCUAGGGAGGGGACAGAGGGGUUUUAAAUAGGCAGACUAACGGAGAGGUAUGGAAGGGACUUUCUAGUAAUCUGUACAGCCUACCCAGGCAAUUCUCAUUAGCAAUAUCAAAAUCAAAUAGUAGCUGACCUUUUUGCAAUAAUUUUAGGAAAUUCUCUGUUUACCCCAACAUCUGGGCUUCUCACAGCAGGUUUCUGUUCCCUCAGACAGAGCCUGAACCCUGAAAGCUGGUUUUGGGCUUCAGCUGGUGGCUUCUGAGGGCCUGGAGGGAGUUAAACAGGAAUGAAGGUGACAGAGAGGAAAAACAUCCUUUCUUGGCACAAAUCUGCUGCACUGCUACCUGAUCCUUUCUUCUCAUCCUGAUCAUCCCCUUUUCUCUGUAGACACACAUAAGAAUUUCUGUCCUGUCCCUGUGCCAAAGCUCGAAGCAUUGUGGUUGUGUGGCCAUCAUGCCAGGUCCUUUAGAUGAGCUGCAGAUACCUGCUUGUCCAGCUUGACUGCUUUUUCUUGAGAUCCCACACUCUUCCUGGUAUUCCUUGGAGGCUGUAGCAGCUCCCAUGCCCAUAGAGGAGCUCAGGAGGAGCUUUGCCUGGGAACUGGGGAUUUGCUGCCUCUUAGGCUGAACAACAGCACACGCUGUGGUAGUAAAGCAUUAAAUCUCCUCUGGCAUUUUGUGUAAGAGAUACAAUCCUGAGGUUUUCUCUCUGGUCUGGAGAAUGGACAUCCUUGUUUCCCCUCUAAGGGAAUCUAGGAGUGGCGAUUUAGAAAUGCAAGUCAGGUGAAAUACAGGUAAUCCCCAUUUCCAGUGGCAGC
Long non-coding RNA from Passer domesticus (house sparrow), 3041 nucleotides. RefSeq lists it as uncharacterized. The record is from RefSeq and is a predicted model, not a curated record. The transcript is spliced from 3 exons. NCBI's taxonomy places the organism in Eukaryota, Metazoa, Chordata, Aves, Passeriformes, Passeridae.